Molecule: ribosomal RNA, 2902 nt
Filed under: Escherichia coli
Lineage: Bacteria; Pseudomonadati; Pseudomonadota; Gammaproteobacteria; Enterobacterales; Enterobacteriaceae
Description: 23S ribosomal RNA
Rfam family: Bacterial large subunit ribosomal RNA
Source: RNAcentral
GGUUAAGCGACUAAGCGUACACGGUGGAUGCCCUGGCAGUCAGAGGCGAUGAAGGACGUGCUAAUCUGCGAUAAGCGUCGGUAAGGUGAUAUGAACCGUUAUAACCGGCGAUUUCCGAAUGGGGAAACCCAGUGUGAUUCGUCACACUAUCAUUAACUGAAUCCAUAGGUUAAUGAGGCGAACCGGGGGAACUGAAACAUCUAAGUACCCCGAGGAAAAGAAAUCAACCGAGAUUCCCCAGUAGCGGCGAGCGAACGGGGAGGAGCCCAGAGCCUGAAUCAGUGUGUGUGUUAGUGGAAGCGUCUGGAAAGGCGCGCGAUACAGGGUGACAGCCCCGUACACAAAAAUGCACAUGCUGUGAGCUCGAUGAGUAGGGCGGGACACGUGGUAUCCUGUCUGAAUAUGGGGGGACCAUCCUCCAAGGCUAAAUACUCCUGACUGACCGAUAGUGAACCAGUACCGUGAGGGAAAGGCGAAAAGAACCCCGGCGAGGGGAGUGAAAAAGAACCUGAAACCGUGUACGUACAAGCAGUGGGAGCACGCUUAGGCGUGUGACUGCGUACCUUUUGUAUAAUGGGUCAGCGACUUAUAUUCUGUAGCAAGGUUAACCGAAUAGGGGAGCCGAAGGGAAACCGAGUCUUAACUGGGCGUUAAGUUGCAGGGUAUAGACCCGAAACCCGGUGAUCUAGCCAUGGGCAGGUUGAAGGUUGGGUAACACUAACUGGAGGACCGAACCGACUAAUGUUGAAAAAUUAGCGGAUGACUUGUGGCUGGGGGUGAAAGGCCAAUCAAACCGGGAGAUAGCUGGUUCUCCCCGAAAGCUAUUUAGGUAGCGCCUCGUGAAUUCAUCUCCGGGGGUAGAGCACUGUUUCGGCAAGGGGGUCAUCCCGACUUACCAACCCGAUGCAAACUGCGAAUACCGGAGAAUGUUAUCACGGGAGACACACGGCGGGUGCUAACGUCCGUCGUGAAGAGGGAAACAACCCAGACCGCCAGCUAAGGUCCCAAAGUCAUGGUUAAGUGGGAAACGAUGUGGGAAGGCCCAGACAGCCAGGAUGUUGGCUUAGAAGCAGCCAUCAUUUAAAGAAAGCGUAAUAGCUCACUGGUCGAGUCGGCCUGCGCGGAAGAUGUAACGGGGCUAAACCAUGCACCGAAGCUGCGGCAGCGACGCUUAUGCGUUGUUGGGUAGGGGAGCGUUCUGUAAGCCUGUGAAGGUGUGCUGUGAGGCAUGCUGGAGGUAUCAGAAGUGCGAAUGCUGACAUAAGUAACGAUAAAGCGGGUGAAAAGCCCGCUCGCCGGAAGACCAAGGGUUCCUGUCCAACGUUAAUCGGGGCAGGGUGAGUCGACCCCUAAGGCGAGGCCGAAAGGCGUAGUCGAUGGGAAACAGGUUAAUAUUCCUGUACUUGGUGUUACUGCGAAGGGGGGACGGAGAAGGCUAUGUUGGCCGGGCGACGGUUGUCCCGGUUUAAGCGUGUAGGCUGGUUUUCCAGGCAAAUCCGGAAAAUCAAGGCUGAGGCGUGAUGACGAGGCACUACGGUGCUGAAGCAACAAAUGCCCUGCUUCCAGGAAAAGCCUCUAAGCAUCAGGUAACAUCAAAUCGUACCCCAAACCGACACAGGUGGUCAGGUAGAGAAUACCAAGGCGCUUGAGAGAACUCGGGUGAAGGAACUAGGCAAAAUGGUGCCGUAACUUCGGGAGAAGGCACGCUGAUAUGUAGGUGAAGUCCCUCGCGGAUGGAGCUGAAAUCAGUCGAAGAUACCAGCUGGCUGCAACUGUUUAUUAAAAACACAGCACUGUGCAAACACGAAAGUGGACGUAUACGGUGUGACGCCUGCCCGGUGCCGGAAGGUUAAUUGAUGGGGUCAGCGCAAGCGAAGCUCUUGAUCGAAGCCCCGGUAAACGGCGGCCGUAACUAUAACGGUCCUAAGGUAGCGAAAUUCCUUGUCGGGUAAGUUCCGACCUGCACGAAUGGCGUAAUGAUGGCCAGGCUGUCUCCACCCGAGACUCAGUGAAAUUGAACUCGCUGUGAAGAUGCAGUGUACCCGCGGCAAGACGGAAAGACCCCGUGAACCUUUACUAUAGCUUGACACUGAACAUUGAGCCUUGAUGUGUAGGAUAGGUGGGAGGCUUUGAAGUGUGGACGCCAGUCUGCAUGGAGCCGACCUUGAAAUACCACCCUUUAAUGUUUGAUGUUCUAACGUGGACCCGUAAUCCGGGUUGCGGACAGUGUCUGGUGGGUAGUUUGACUGGGGCGGUCUCCUCCUAAAGAGUAACGGAGGAGCACGAAGGUUGGCUAAUCCUGGUCGGACAUCAGGAGGUUAGUGCAAUGGCAUAAGCCAGCUUGACUGCGAGCGUGACGGCGCGAGCAGGUGCGAAAGCAGGUCAUAGUGAUCCGGUGGUUCUGAAUGGAAGGGCCAUCGCUCAACGGAUAAAAGGUACUCCGGGGAUAACAGGCUGAUACCGCCCAAGAGUUCAUAUCGACGGCGGUGUUUGGCACCUCGAUGUCGGCUCAUCACAUCCUGGGGCUGAAGUAGGUCCCAAGGGUAUGGCUGUUCGCCAUUUAAAGUGGUACGCGAGCUGGGUUUAGAACGUCGUGAGACAGUUCGGUCCCUAUCUGCCGUGGGCGCUGGAGAAUUGAGGGGGCUGCUCCUAGUACGAGAGGACCGGAGUGGACGCAUCACUGGUGUUCGGGUUGUCAUGCCAAUGGCACUGCCCGGUAGCUAAAUGCGGAAGAGAUAAGUGCUGAAAGCAUCUAAGCACGAAACUUGCCCCGAGAUGAGUUCUCCCUGACUCCUUGAGAGUCCUGAAGGAACGUUGAAGACGACGACGUUGAUAGGCCGGGUGUGUAAGCGCAGCGAUGCGUUGAGCUAACCGGUACUAAUGAACCGUGAGGCUUAACCUU